CCCCUCGCUCCCGCACAGCCAAUGAGCGCCGGGAGGGUGUUGCCGCGCUCUGUGCCUGCGCGAGGUGGAGGGCGGGGCUGCGGCUGGCCCCGUCCUUCUCCCCUCAGUAGCGCCCGGCUCGCGGGGUGGGAGGUGACGGGCGGUCCCGGGCCGGUGCUCCUGCGGGGCCCCUUCGCUGCCCGUGAGGUGACGGGCAGUCCCGGGCCGGUGCCCCCGUGGGACCCUCUCGCUGCCCGUGAGGUGACGGGCGGUCCCGGGCUGGUGCCCCCGUGGGUCCCCUCACGCUGCCCGUGAGGUGAUGGGCAGUCCCGGGCCGGUCCAGCUGCCGCCUCAGCCCGGCCCCGCGCCUGGAGCGGCCGGGACGAGCCUCCCCGGCCGCCGAGUCCCGUCUCUCGUUAAGGCGAAGAGCCGCCAACCCGCGCUCCUGUGUUCAGGCUGAUGUCAGGACAAGAUGUUCUUUAAAGGUGGAAGUCAUUACGAGGGCAAGUUUGUCAAGGGACAAAUUAUGGAGAAUGGAUCUCAAUACGGGGUAUCAACAGGGGCAGUGGAGAAGUGACGUAUUCGGUGAACGGGGCGCUGUGGUGAAUUGUUCUGGUGACAUCUGUGAUGGACUGUGGAUCAAUGGCUACCCUGCUGAAAUGAAGCAGAAAGCUGAGCGGUGGGAUUUCCGCUGGGAAAGCUGAGCAGCUGAGUCUUGCAGGAGCCAGUGGCAGCGGCAGAUCGCACGUGACAUCCAAAGAAUACCAACUACAAAAGGAUCAGCACUCUGUAUAGAAUUCUAAGACAUUACAAGGCCACUAUGGUACUUGUGGUCCGUGAAGUGACCAUGCCCCCUUUCUUGGGCCAGGCUCCCACAUCUGCCUUCAAACUCUCGUAUCUUUCCAGAGAAAACUGAAACCAAGAACAAAGAUUCUUUCACAGUCACCAGCGAGUAAAAAGGAUCAAACCCCCCAGCCAGGGCUCUUGUCACUGAAAUCAAUGGAAUGCUUCCCACUGAAUGCAGUGGAAGUUGGAUUCAGUCUUUGCAUCCCAGCCACCCUUGUAAGGGUUUUCCUGCAGGGUCAGGGUUUUGAAAAUUAUAAUGAUCUAAAGAAUGGACAGAGAUCCAUGUCAUGAUUGCCUUCUUACUACUAACGUUUUAGAAGAAAGCAACAUAGUCUCUGCAGAGAUUUGAGAUGCAGAUUAAAAAUGUUUCAGUUCUAUUCUUCAGUAUAUGUUUGGAAUUAGAAAAGCAAAACUCUAACAAAAACCUGAGGUUGAAACAACACAAUAGGAGAAAACAGAAAAAUAGCUGAAGAUGAAUGUCCAGGACUGGAGCUGGUUCUGUUGGCGUAGUUGAGCUGACUUUAGUAGAGAUCAGGGUAUAACAUGAGCUUCAAAAUACAAACCUCUAUUUAUUAGGGUUCCUAGUACAGAUAACCACCACUGUCCUUCCUUUUCUGCUUCUAUGAAGAAAAUGAAGAGACCAAUAUGUAACACAAGAGCAAUAAAUAAUGUUCCAUCAUGAUCAACAAUGAGGAAUUUGUGCUUGGAAACCAGGAAACAAAUUGUUCCAGAGUCAUGAUGUGGCCCUGGUUAGUGCUUUUCUGUGUCUUGGUGGGAGCACGCGGGUGCCGUGGUUGCCAUGGUAAGGUACGAGUUUUGUGAUGGAUGCUGUAAAUAGUCAAAUCAUUGGCCAAAACCGAAGUGAAGAUUCUGCUCUGGUUGUUUGUUGUGAGUUUUGAUCAUGGUCACAAAGGUUUAUGUGAUUAUUUACAUGGUAAAUUAAAAGAGCAUAAAGACAACAUCGUUGUGUUUCAGUGAUGGGGGUAUCUGCCGCAUAUGGAGUUGUUCUCUUGUAAAUCAUGAGUACUUCUGAACUUGUAAUUUUAAGUGACUGUGAAUGAGAUCUUGGCAUUGUCUUUCCAGCACCCUGUCUCACAGACAUGCCAUGCUGAAAAUCUGCCUGUAGCAAGAGAGGAAUUUUUACACUUCAUUAUAACAUUGAAUAGUUUAUUAACUGAGACAAUAAGGUGGAUGGACAGAGAGAUUCUUUAUGGAAGUAGGCAUGUAGAUCUGACCUUGUUAGCAGCUUUGCAAUUGUAUGCUGUGGCAAUAGUGUACCCAAGAUAAUGACCCCCAGGCAGUGAUGUGUCUCGUUUUUCUCUUUGGGGCUGUGUAUACCAAUGAGGUAAAUGACUUUGUGUUUGUCAAAGUAUUUGGUAUUGUUUCCCACACUACGUUCAGAUUAUUGCUUUACUAAUUUCCUUGGCUUCCUUUCAAUUUAUUUCAAAACAAACCAACAUCAAGUAGCAACACAGAAAAUGAAUUGACAUUUUUCAACUAUAUGGACUUAUCCUGAAAAAGCUGAAAGCACGGAAAACAAUUGCAACCAGAGUGGACACAUCUGUUGCAGAAACUGAGCGGAUUGUUCGUGGACUGGCAGUUGCAGGAGUGCUCGGCAGGGUGACACGAUGCCUGCUCUCGGGUGGUGCUGGGGUGACAGCUCUGGACACUGCUUCGUGAGGUAUUUCAGGAGCAGAAGCAGAAUAAACUCGUCACUUCCACUCUGGGAAGUUCACUUUGCUGCUGCGGCCGCCAGCCGGCUCACCAGUGCGGUGUGGUAUAGGUACCUUGGGAAUUAGCAGCUGGGUUGUGUUUUCCAAAUCAUUGUGAACAAUCCUCCGAGUAUCCAGCAGAAGCCGAUCAACUUCAUUUGUCGCUGAAUCUCUGUGGUAAGUAGCAGCAACACCCGUUGUACAAUUCUCCUGGUCUUUAGGUUGGUGGGAUCCAAUUCAACCUUCUGUGUCCUUCACUGAGCGGUGGUGGCGGCGGGUCCCCUUUGGAAGCAGGGGGAGCAUCACAGAGGAAUUACGCUCUUAGGAGCUUCAUGGUCUGGAACCAUCAUCCUUCUGCUGCAGUUACUACUCUGGUCCAUGCCCCCCUUUUCUGUCAUACAGAAACAGGCUGUAGCUGAAGGCUUUCUGGUUUAGCAUGAGAUUUAUGUGCCUCUCAAUAUUAAGCUAGGGACUGAAGAAUUGGGAAAUGUUACAACUGUGGUGCUUGUAUUUUGAGAAAUGCAGUGAAAGCUUUAUCCAUGACACUUCAAAUAUUGCCGUUGUUAAUGUGCUCUGAGGGAGAGCUGAUGCAGAGUUCCUUGGGUGUACAGCAGGAGAAAUUCUGUCUGCUUUUCAUUCUUUGCAGACAGGACAAGGAGUUGCUUUAAAAAAUGAGCUAACAGCCUAUCUGGAAUAUAGUUUUCAAAAGUUUGGAGUGUUUCCCUUAGUAUGUAAGUACCAAGAAAUAUGUCAUAAAAGCCAGUUGGCCUCACAAACUUUGAAUCUAAUACCAGUUAAUUGUAUCAAGUUGCAGUUGUUCUGAUGUUUUCUGUGCAAGGGGUCAGAGUUCCAGCAAACAUGUUUCUGGAGCUGUUGGCAGCUGAAAGAGGAAGGUUGCUUUAUUGCUCUUUCAUAACUGUUCUGAUGUCCAUAGCCAAGAAAGCACCAUUAGUUUUUAUUACUUUUAACUUUAAAAAUGCUUUAGAAAAUACAUUACACAAGGACACCUGCAGGAGGAGAAAAGUUCCGAAAUUUUGGAAACUGAUUCUGCUUUGGAAAGAGACAUUUGCCUUGAUAUGCUAAAGAAAACAUGAUUUCAGAACAUUUAUUUGUGGCUUUGUAGCAGUGACAAGCUUAAGUCAUCUUUCUGCUUAAUAUCAUCUGGUCACAUCUUCACUGGGCUUUUAAAUGAAGACCAGACUUUGCUUUCAUUGCAUCUUCAUGCCCAUCUCUGGCUUUUAAGAAGUAUUAUUAACCCAAAUUUGAUACACGCCCUCAAUUCCUAAUACACAUGCAAUAUUUUCCCCUUGAAUUGUAUCCAUAUUACUCUGUAAUGCAAAUAUUAGUAAUAACAAUAAGAGCAGAUGGCUUUUUUUGUUGAAUAAAUUAUUUGGGCUUUAGGACCAAGCCUGCACUUUCUGGUUUUGGUAACUGGCUGAGGAAGUAAACAGCAGCUGAGAAUUUCUGCAGGUUAGCUGAUAAUGCAGAUCAGAAAGGACACAAAGAGCUGAUGGGGUUAAAGUGGAAAUGUUGUCCUGGGGAAGGCGAACAGCCCAGCGUGAGCAGGAGGAGCGUUUGGCUGCGGCCCAGCGGAGGGGACAAGGAGGGGACAGGGCUCUGCUGGGUUUGCUGCCCGGGCUGGGGUCACCUCACAUGCCUUCUCUCUUCCACUUUCCUUUUGUCUUGAAAUUGCUUUCAGUUAACAUCUGGAACUUUUUUUUGUAAUCAGCAGCAUUUCCUUAGCCAGAGCAGAGCAUUUUGUGAUCGGGGAAUUCCUACGGUUUGAGAUCAGCCAGAAAAAAGAGGGAGGUUUUGGCUUCACUUCUCUUUUUCCUAUUAUGUGAAGUGUGUCUGAAGUCUCCGUAAUGCCUCAUCUUAGUCCUCUGAAAAAUUUAAAGUUCCUUAGAGGAAUAGAGCAAGUGCAAGGUUUUACUAGGAACCAUGUUUGUCUUUGGGACUCUAAAAGCUAUUGCACCGGUCAGUGCUGGGGACACAGUGAUCGAGUUUAGAACCUGCAGCAGCUCAGCCUGUCCCAAACUCUACUCACGAUCACAACUCCUCCAGGAACGUGUGUGAGCGGGAUGCGGGGAUCAUCCAGCACCAAAGGGAAAGGCAAAUGCUUUUUAACUUAAAACGCAAAUGUUUAAAAUAGAGUGAAGAGUCUGUGGGCUUUGGAAUUCCAUGGGAAUGUAGGAAAUGGAAUAUACUUGUUACAUUUGGAGUUGAACACAGAGCUGGAAACCCAGACUUCUAAUGCUGUAGCUUCUUUAAUAACAUCAAGUGGUGCUGAAUGUUUUGCUCUUUGUUGCACGCAGAAGGAAGCCUUUCCUUGCUUCGGUUCCCGUGAGUACGACGUACCACAGCAAGAGCGCACAGACUCCGUGUAAUAAUAGUGUCUUGUUCAGUCUAAACAAGCUUUCAGUGCCUUCCCUACGAGACAGAAGCCAGCGUUCCAUUAGCUGUGGUUAUGUAGUUGUUAUUUCCAGGGUGCAACAUACUGUACUAAUUCUUGAUAAGUUGUUUUCAUGCUACAUUUUGGUGCAGUCCUCAAGUGCAUAUUCUUGCCACACAGAAUUUUUGCUGCCCCAGACUCAGCUUUGCGGAAUUUUGCCUUCUUGGUGGUUGGCAUGUAAAGUUGUUGGAAUGUAGAUAGCACAAAACUAAUAAUCUUAACGUUGAAACAAUCUUAACAUUUCUUUCCAAGUGCUUUUUAGACUCAGUUCCUCCUUGGCUUUUCUUCAUUGUGAAAAGCUGGUUUUGGUUUCUUGGCCUGAUUUUUCCCUCACAUAGUUAAUCUUCCUCUGGCUUCUGAUAAGGUGCCAAAUGUUUAAAAUCUGCUUUAGUGUUCCCUUGUAAAAGAGGUUGCAUUUACCAGUUUGUCACUAAGCUACUUCUCAAUUUUCAGUGUUUACAAGAUCUUUCUAGCAAAUAAACGAACAAACAAAACCUCAA
Molecule: long non-coding RNA, 5489 nt
Organism: Columba livia (rock pigeon)
Lineage: Eukaryota; Metazoa; Chordata; Aves; Columbiformes; Columbidae
Exons: 6
Source: RefSeq, a predicted model, not a curated record